UUCUAACUGAAUAAAAACAAGAUGUCGCUAAUUCAACUGACCAUUUACUUACUUUUUCUUUUCUCUUUUUCACUUUAGGGUUUCUUAGACGUAGAGGAAAUGAAUUGUAGGCCUUUAGUAGCCCUAAUUUGACAAAGCAUUAGAAAAUUUGACAAAGCAUUAGAAAAAAGACCAAAGGAGGGCGGUUAAGGCCUAAUCGUAUCCUUUUCCCAAAAAAAAAAAAAAGUAAUUAAUCAAACAAAGUAACAAGUCGACAUUGACAUGAGUCACCAAUGAUGAUGAAGGAAAAUUGGCUAGGGUCGGCUUAUACAUCCCUCUAUUCUCUUAUCCAAUCCAUCACUGACUCUGUUUUUUUAUGUAGGAAUGAUGCAACUUUAUAGGGCUGUGAGUAUAUUUUUAAGAAAAUAUAUUCCAAUUUGGUCAAGAAAAAAGGGUGGGGGAAGGAUGGGGGCAUUGGAAAAACUAUAAUCCACCCAAAGAAACGCCAGGGAGAAAAGGAGAAGCUUCAUCUUCCUUUUUCGGCAGCACAAAACACUUUUGCAGACGUCGGCUUCGCACCAAAUGCAAUGCUUACCAAGUCCCCGUCACCUGCUGCUGGCUAUUGCAGGGGACAUGCCAAUUGGCAUCUCACUUUUGUGAACUGACAUGCAUGGGUCGAAGGGAGUUUCAGUGUACUCGAAAUAUAAGAAAUAUAUUACGUAUCAUUGUAUAAAUAAAAGAACAGUGAAUAAUAUAUUUAUAUUUUCACUUAUAUUAUGAUGUACGAAAUAAUCUCUUAUGAGUCAGGCAUUUGAGUCUUUGCUUAUAGAGAUUUAAAUA
Molecule: long non-coding RNA, 819 nt
Filed under: Malus domestica (apple)
Lineage: Eukaryota; Viridiplantae; Streptophyta; Magnoliopsida; Rosales; Rosaceae
Description: long non-coding RNA (MDOM_LNC011740)
Source: RNAcentral